GAAGCGCAAUCUCGCGAGAUUUCAUUUGGGCAAUGGAUACGGAUAGUACUAAAUUCGGAUAACAAUUGUUUAGGUAAAUCCGAGAUGAGGGCAUGCUGAAAAUGUUGUAGAACGCAUCUGAUCCUGUUCGAUUAAUUGGAAAUGUCAACAAAACCAUCAACAGAUCCCUGUCAAAAAUAUGCAUGCAAAAUACAGACUUGCUUACAAGCUAUGAACUAUCAAGAAGACAAAUGCGAGCUCGUGAUUGAUUCCUUGGUCGAGUGCUGUGAGAAAUAUGGAGCGAGGUCUAACUGUUGCUCGGGGUUCCUGAAAGGCCAAAGAAAAAGGAACAAACCAAUCAAAGACUCUUCCGAAGGCUGUGGGUGACGAACGGCCACAUCUUAUAUGUACACAGUGAUAUUUAAAAUUAUUUACAUGAAUGCAAUGUUUAUCUUGUAACGUGUGUUCAUAUAUUGGUAAAUAAUAAUAUAAAUUAUAAAGA
Dreissena polymorpha is the source of this 481-nucleotide long non-coding RNA. RefSeq lists it as uncharacterized. The transcript has 3 exons. NCBI's taxonomy places the organism in Eukaryota, Metazoa, Mollusca, Bivalvia, Myida, Dreissenidae. The record is from RefSeq and is a predicted model, not a curated record.